This 429-nucleotide long non-coding RNA is filed under the name Homo sapiens (human). RNAcentral's name for it is "HSALNT0204993". The record is from RNAcentral. Lineage: Eukaryota; Metazoa; Chordata; Mammalia; Primates; Hominidae.
AUUAUCCUUCCUGCUGGACAGAAAUUAUCUACACCUAUAACAGAUAAAUAUCUACUAUGUUAACUUUUCUUUCUACAGAGCAGUAAGGUAGAUCAGUACAUACAAAAUCAAUUAAAGAGGAAAGCGCGGUACAUCAUUGCAAGGAAAAUCAUCAGUUUCUUUAGCCUACUCCCAGGUUCUGAUAAUUAUCCUGACAAUCAAACCAUAAGCUGAGAAAAGACAUGUACGAUUUAAGCAGCCCAUGAGGAACACUUCUCCAGUACACAAUUUAUUGCUCUAUCAGUAACAGGCUCUUCUCCCUUCGCUCUGCCCUUCUCUCUCCUGCCACCUUGUGAAGAAGGACAUGCUUGCUUCCACUUCUGUCAUGAUUGUAAGAUUCCCGAGACCCCCCCAGUCACAUGGAACUAAUGAGAAAUAUGUCCAAGUAAA